AAUCUGAUAUAAGUACCAAAAUCUAGUGUUUCAGAUUGCUAUAGUUAAAGUUUUGUUUGAAAUUCGUUUAUAGAGUGGAAAGAGCUAUUGGAAGUAUGGAUGCAAAUGAAGAUGGUUUGUUAGAUCUUUGACUCUUCAUUUUGAAUCAAUCUAGAUUACAAUGCUUCCUGUUGCCAUUAUAAUUUGCCAGGGAAAGAAAGAAUAUGCUCUUUCAUUAUGAGUCUACUUCUACAGAAAUAUGAUGAUAUUCUAUGACACUGACUCAGGGUUGAAGAAGAAAGCUAUGCAGACAUGCACUAUCUAGAGAGGUUAUGCUCAAUCAUUGUCGCAAUUAUUGCAUGGAGCCUGUAGAUCAUUUUAGGCCUACAGAAUCCCACAUGGUGCGGCGCUACACUGCCGUCAACAUGCUACCUCACGAUCCCCCAUCAUAGUACCUUCACUACCACGGCCACUGUUACUGGCCUGUCACCUUCUAGAUUCGCCACCGUAACCAUUUCUUACAUACUGUUAUUUAUAUAUAUAUAUCAUGACAAAUUUCGUUUGCUGUUCCUUAUGAUCCACAAUCCAUGUUUGUUAUUAUUAUUACAAUUAUUAUUAAGAAUUGAAGCUGCAAAGUGGGGGAAAGAGAAAGAAAGACUUACCUGGAGCUGCUACUUAAAGACCAAGACGAUGGUGAUGGAGGGCUGGCUAACCAAUGUUACUUUCUUCCCCUCUACUUCUGUUUUUCGUUCACUUCACCUCUGUUCUUGCUUUUCUCUGCUUGUUUUCUCUCUCUCUCUCUUUUUAUAUAUAUAUAUAUCUCUUGUUCCCUCUGUCUCUCCCUGUUAUUGUUCCUCUUUGUCUCUCUCUGUGUUAUCUGUGUUCCUUCAUUUUUUGUCUGUGUUUUUUUGUAUUAUUUGUUUGAGGUUCUCCCCUUCUUUGUGGCUUUUCUCUGUUCGUCCUGGUUUCUCUGGGUUUGUAUUUGGUUGGUUGGAUCAACAACCUACGGUAAGGGGAAGUUGAAGUUCCCUUUCGCUGGAGUAAGGUCACAAGUCUCUCUGUCUUCUCUCUGUCUCUGUUUUUCUUCCCGCCUGCCUCGUCGUCUCUGUGUGUUGUGGUCUUAUAGGGCAAGAGAAUGCCCCUUCAUCUCUCCCAGGAUAGUGUGGAGAUUAGCACGGUUCAGUCGUGCAUGA
This is a long non-coding RNA of Populus euphratica (Euphrates poplar), 1172 nucleotides long. RefSeq lists it as uncharacterized. NCBI's taxonomy places the organism in Eukaryota, Viridiplantae, Streptophyta, Magnoliopsida, Malpighiales, Salicaceae. The transcript is spliced from 2 exons. The record is from RefSeq and is a predicted model, not a curated record.